GUCUUCGUAGUUAAACGGAUAUAACGAACCUCUCCUAAGGGUUAGUUGCAGGUUCGAUUCCUGUCGAAGGCA
This 72-nucleotide transfer RNA is filed under the name Blochmannia endosymbiont of Camponotus sp. RNAcentral describes it as "tRNA-Arg". It matches the Rfam family "tRNA". From Rfam's summary of the family: Transfer RNA (tRNA) molecules are approximately 80 nucleotides in length. Their secondary structure includes four short double-helical elements and three loops (D, anti-codon, and T loops). The record is from RNAcentral. Lineage: Bacteria; Pseudomonadati; Pseudomonadota; Gammaproteobacteria; Enterobacterales; Enterobacteriaceae.